AUUGAACGCUGGCGGCAGGCCUAACACAUGCAAGUCGAGCGGAUGAAGGGAGCUUGCUCCGGGAUUCGGCGGCGGACGGGUGAGUGAUGCCUAGGAAUCUGCCUGGUAGGGGGGGAUAACGUCCGGAAACGGGCGCUAAUACCACAUACGUCCUGAGGGAGAAAGUGGGGGGGCUUCGGACCUCACGCUAUCAGAUGAGCCUAGGUCGGAUUAGCUAGUUGGUGGGGUAAAGGCCUUCCAAGGAGACGAUCCGUAACUGGUCUGAGAGGAUGGUCAGUCACACUGGAACUGGGCCACGGUCCAUGCGCCUACGGGAGGCAGCAGUGGGGUAUAUUGGACAACGGGCGAAAGCCUGACCCAGCCAGGCCGCGUGUGUUGAGAAGGUCUUCCGAUUGUAAAGCACGUUAAGUGGGGGGGAAGGGCAGUAAGUUAAUACCUUGCUGUUUUGACGUUACCAACAGAAUAAGCACCGGCUAACUUCGUG
Molecule: ribosomal RNA, 484 nt
Filed under: uncultured bacterium
Lineage: Bacteria
Description: partial 16S ribosomal RNA
Rfam family: Bacterial small subunit ribosomal RNA
Source: RNAcentral